UACGUAGGGUGCAAGCGUUGUCCGGAGUUAUUGGGCGUAAAGAGCUCGUAGGCGGUCUGUCGCGUCGGCUGUGAAAACCCGGAGCUCAACUCCGGGCCUGCAGUCGAUACGGGCAGACUGGAGUUCGGCAGGGGAGACUGGAAUUCCUGGUGUAGCGGUGAAAUGCGCAGAUAUCAGGAGGAACACCGGUGGCGAAGGCGGGUCUCUGGGCCGAUACUGACGCUGAGGAGCGAAAGCGUGGGGAGCGAACAGG
This 253-nucleotide ribosomal RNA is filed under the name uncultured bacterium. Its description in RNAcentral is "partial 16S ribosomal RNA". It matches the Rfam family "Bacterial small subunit ribosomal RNA", at positions 524 to 776 of the family's 1533-position model. The record is from RNAcentral.